Molecule: ribosomal RNA, 1230 nt
Filed under: uncultured Gammaproteobacteria bacterium
Lineage: Bacteria; Pseudomonadati; Pseudomonadota; Gammaproteobacteria
Description: partial 16S ribosomal RNA
Rfam family: Bacterial small subunit ribosomal RNA
Source: RNAcentral
CGAACGGUAACGGACCGCUGGGAUUCCUUCGGGAUGACCUUGGUGCCGACGAGUGGCGGACGGGUGAGUAACACGUAGGAAUCUGCCAAACAGUGGGGGACAACCCGGAGAAAUCCGGGCUAAUACCGCAUACGCCCUACGGGGGAAAGCGGGGGACCUUCGGGCCUCGCGCUGUUUGAGGAGCCUGCGUCGGAUUAGCUUGUUGGUGAGGUAAAGGCUCACCAAGGCGACGAUCCGUACCUGGUCUGAGAGGAUGAUCAGCCACACUGGGACUGAAACACGGCCCAGACUCCUACGGGAGGCAGCAGUGGGGAAUAUUGCACAAUGGGCGAAAGCCUGAUGCAGCUAUACCGCGUGGGUGAAGAAGGCCUUAGGGUUGUAAAGCCCUUUCAGCAGGGAAGAAAGGUACGGAGUUAAUAGCUCCGUAAUUUGACGGUACCUGAAUAAGAAGCACCGGCUACUCCGUGCCAGCAGCCGCGGUAAUACGGAGGGUGCAAGCGUUAAUCGGAAUUACUGGGCGUAAAGCGCGCGUAGGCGGUCUAGUCAGUCAGAUGUGAAAGCCCCGGGCUCAACCUGGGAAUUGCAUUUGAAACUGCUGGACUAGAGUGUGGUAGAGGGAAGUGGAAUUCCGAGUGUAGCGGUGAAAUGCGUAGAGAUUCGGAGGAACAUCAGUGGCGAAGGCGACUUCCUGGACUAACACUGACGCUGAGGUGCGAAAGCGUGGGGAGCAAACAGGAUUAGAUGCCCUGGUAGUCCACGCCGUAGACGAUGUCUACUAGCCGUCGAAGAGCUUGACUCCUUGAUGGCGCAGCUAACGCGAUAAGUAGACCGCCUGGGGAGUACGGCCGCAAGGCUAAAACUCAAAGGAAUUGACGGGCGUCUCGCACAAGCGGUAGAGCAUGUGUCUAAUUCGAUGCAACGCGAAGAACCUUACCUGCUUUGACAUCCUCGGAACGGUCGGGAUACGGACUGUGCCUUCGGGAACCGAGAGACAGUUGCUGCAUGCUGUCGUCAGCUCGUGUCGUGAGAUGAUGGGUCAAGUCUCGUAACGAGCGCAGCCCCUAUCCUUAACCUGUCGCGAGUAAUGUCGGAACUCUAAGGAAAACUGCCGGUGGACAACCGGAAGAAAGGGUGAUCCACCUCAAGUCCUUCCUGGUUCCCUAAGGGGGGGUACCACACCGGCUCAAAUGGCGGCUACAAAGAGAAAAGCGGGAGUACUCCAUGGGGAGA